This 46-nucleotide non-coding RNA is filed under the name Schistosoma margrebowiei. The record is from RNAcentral. Lineage: Eukaryota; Metazoa; Platyhelminthes; Trematoda; Strigeidida; Schistosomatidae.
UUACUGCUGAGGAGUCCCAUACUAAGACGAAACGGCCGUCCAGUGC